GACCAAAGGAAGGGUAGCUUUUGCCCUUUGCAGUAUGGGCAACUUUUUUACAAAAUAUAUCACAGAACUAACUGGAAACCUUUGGAUCCGCCAUUUCUAGAAACAUCAUCAGGCACAAACUCGAAGCUCAGAAAAUUAGACUAAUGAUGUCGUGAAUACGAGGACACUCGUAUGUUCUUUUUUCGGGAACAUGGCUAACACUAUCACAUUUGAAGGAACCAUAUCGCUAUCUUUGGGAGCCUUGGGAGUGUGUGUGUGUGUGUGUGUGUGUGUGUGUGUGUAUCAUUAGAGAUCAAGAGCAGCUCAAGUGGGCCCACACUGCUUCAGCAGAACAUGACUGCAGACAGAUCUUUCCUUCUCGACACAGAUCAACACGUCGGUGAUCAUUUCUCCAUCAGGGUGGUCCAAAGCUUGUGGCUCGUAUUACUAUUUAAAAACCGGCCUCUUAGCUGCAGCUUCACAAACACAACUCGAAGCAUCAUGGGAAUAAUCUCCUGCUUGAAUACUUCUAAAGUGCUCUCCCUCUAUCACUUUCUUUCCCUCUCAUCCCUUCUUCCUCUCCCUCUCACAGCAGACCUGCGGGCAGUAAAGAUGCAGGAAGAAGAGAAUCUCUCUACCUGCUCUGAUUGUUGUUGCAUAAUUAAAGACGAUGCUCAAAGGAGUGUUACUGAGCCCCAGGUCCACCGCAACGACAGAUAUUUACAAGGCUUGGAAUCCAGUCGUCUACGCACACCUGGUGUCUGUCGACCUUCCAGGAGGCUGCAGGUCGGCAGCAGGUUACCCUGUGACAGGACUGGUCUUUACCAAGCAAGAAAAAUGAAGAUGAUGAGGACUUGCAACAAACUGAAGUUCCUUGAGUGUCCACUUGAGGCAGGCUGUUGCUCCAAUAGAUUCUUGAGGCUUGUUUGUUUGUUUGAGACAUUAGAUUUCAGCAGCAGCCCUGACGGCGUUGAAUGAAGCAGCGUGGUGAUAAUGAAAACGAAUAUGAAAAUAAAAAUAUAUUAAUUUACACAUUUAGUUAAUUUAUAAGUAUUUAUAGAAAUACUUACAUGUAUAUACAGAUGGUAAGA
Molecule: long non-coding RNA, 1070 nt
Organism: Notolabrus celidotus (New Zealand spotty)
Lineage: Eukaryota; Metazoa; Chordata; Actinopteri; Labriformes; Labridae
Exons: 3
Source: RefSeq, a predicted model, not a curated record